RNAcentral lists this ribosomal RNA (547 nucleotides) under uncultured archaeon. RNAcentral describes it as "bacterial SSU rRNA". It matches the Rfam family "Archaeal small subunit ribosomal RNA", at positions 267 to 814 of the family's 1478-position model. The record is from RNAcentral.
GUACGGGUUGUGAGAGCAAGAGCCCGGAGAUGGAUUCUGAGACACGAAUCCAGGCCCUACGGGGUGCAGCAGGCGCGAAAACUUUACAAUGCUGGCAACAGCGAUAAGGGAACCUCGAGUGCCAGGUUACAAAUCUGGCUGUCGAGAUGCCUAAAAAGCAUUUCAUAGCAAGGGCCGGGCAAGACCGGUGCCAGCCGCCGCGGUAACACCGGCGGCUCGAGUGGUAACCGUUAUUAUUGGGUCUAAAGGGUCUGUAGCCGGCCGGAUAAGUCUCUUGAGAAAUCUGGCAGCUUAACUGUCAGGCUUUCAGGAGAUACUGUUCGGCUCGAGGCCGGGAGAGGUGAGAGGUACUUCAGGGGUAGGGGUGAAAUCUUGUAAUCCUUGAAGGACCACCAGUGGCGAAGGCGUCUCACCAGAACGGACCUGACGGCAAGGGACGAAAGCUAGGGGCACGAACCGGAUUAGAUACCCGGGUAGUCCUAGCCGUAAACGAUACUCGCUAGGUGUCGGCCACGGUGCGACCGUUGUCGGUGCCGUAGGGAAGCCG